AUUGUCUACAUAAUGGAAUCAAUUGAAUGCUAUUUAGGAAUUGGUUUUUGGUUCUUUAUGAAUGCAGGCUACUCAUGUUUUGUUAGCUGUGCAAUAAAUGGCAUAUUUUCUGCUAUUACCAUCUCGUACUAAUUAUCUAGACGUAGCUCAAAGGCAUUUAGUUGAAAACAGUGGGGUUUAUUUUGUUUCUUAUUGUUUGUUUUGUAUUUGUUUAUUUUUAAAGGGAGGAGUGAAGUAGGAGUGGUGAACAGAUGGUUCUUGGCACAUCGAUGGCAUUUGUCCAUCUGAAGAGGAAUGUGAAAUUUCUGGUACUGUCAUGAGCUUUUCCAUGCACUUAAGUCCUGAGGCAAAACCCACUGAAGACUUCCUAACAUCAAUGGGCUUUGGAUCUAAUCCAUAGACAGCUAGUUUCUUUUGGAAAAUAUUGAAUGAAAUGUUUCUCUUUUUCUUACUGUUGAUGCAUUGGCUGAAAUAUCAGGGAAAUGUUCAGCAACUGCUAGAAGUUAUAUUCUUCUGUCUUAGAGAAAUAGACUUUGUCUCAGCAGAGGGAAACACCAAGUUGAUCCACAGAGAAAGGCCCUGCAGAUGCAUCUGUAUUGCGUGCCAUGCGUUGGUACAAGGAGUCAUUCAUUUUGUCUAAGAAACCUGACAGUGAUCCUUCAUGCUUCUAGCAGGACUGUGAAUUGUAAACAGCAUAUAAGGCUGGAAGACGACAACAGGAUGCAUGCACUCUCUUGGUUUUGACACUUUCUUAAAUCUAGAUCUUUGAGAAAAGGAAUAAUAAUGGAUAAAAAACAGUAUUGCAAUUAAUUAUUUUAGCACAGAUGUUACAUAAACAAUUCAUGUUAAAAACCAGUUUGAAGUUUUCGAUUUUAUCUCCAUAAAUUAUAAAGCAAAUUAUAUUAUUAGAUGCUGUAUACAGUGCAAAGCCUUCAAGGUCUAUUUGUCUCCAUAAAUUUACAGUGAAAUUUGUCUCAAAAUUCAUAUAGUUUUCAUUUGUUUCUGUUGAUCUUUUUGAAAGAAGAUCUGGACUUAAUCUCAAAUCUUAGAAUUUUACUUUAUAGAAAUAUGGAAGAUAAAACUCUUAACCGUAGCUUUGGAGAAGCUUUUGAAUAUAAUCUUGUGUCUCACAGCUGCAGUUGAACUUCAUAUUUCAGGAAGUUCUUAUUAAGGUGUCUGCCACGGCCUGCAAAAUGAACCAACAACUUUAGAGAUCCAUUAUUUCCAUCUGAAUUUAUGUUUUCAGGUGACUGUUCCUCAGUUACUGAUUUUAAGGAUACUCUAGGCUUUAAAAUCCUGAACAGGACCUUGUUCAGUUGAUGAAAAAUGACUUGAUUAAAAUUAUAUGCAAAUAGAUUAAAAUAGAUGUCCUUAUUCCUCUCCUCAUUUAGUAAUAUUUUCACUGCAAUGCACUUACAUUUAGCAGUUAGAGUGAACGUUUACUCUCAAGGAUUCAAGGUGCUUAAUAUUUUUUUAUUGUAAUUUUUUUUUUGCAGACUUCUCUAUGCUUCAGUGUAUUUUCUUAAACUGUUACACAAAACCUUCUGACAUUUUGUUUCACUGUAGAAAAUUUGAAGGGAGGGAGCACAUCAUCAUUUUUAUAUUGCUUUGAAUAGUUGAUAGUGUGAAAUGAAAGACUG
Molecule: long non-coding RNA, 1640 nt
Organism: Numida meleagris (helmeted guineafowl)
Lineage: Eukaryota; Metazoa; Chordata; Aves; Galliformes; Numididae
Source: Ensembl